UAAUCCCGGAUACGGCUCGCUGCCUGGAGUUGGCGCGAGCUCGAAACGUUCAGGCGCGACAGGAUGUGGCUGCGGCCGAUUAGGUAGACGGUGGGGUAACGGCCCACCGUGCCGAUAAUCGGUACGGGUUGUGAGAGCAAGAGCCCGGAGACGGAAUCUGAGACAAGAUUCCGGGCCCUACGGGGCGCAGCAGGCGCGAAACCUUUACACUGCACGCGAGUGCGAUAGGGGGACUCCAAGUGCGAGGGCAUAUAGUCCUCGCUUUUUGCGACCGUAAGGAGGUCGCGGAAUAAGUGCUGGGCAAGACCGGUGCCAGCCGCCGCGGUAAUACCGGCAGCACAAGUGAUGACCGCUAUUAUUGGGCCUAAAGCGUCCGUAGCUACUUUCC
RNAcentral lists this ribosomal RNA (388 nucleotides) under uncultured archaeon. RNAcentral describes it as "bacterial SSU rRNA". It matches the Rfam family "Archaeal small subunit ribosomal RNA", at positions 147 to 533 of the family's 1478-position model. The record is from RNAcentral.